UGACCUCAAAUCGGGUGAGACUACCCGCUGAACUUAAGCAUAUC
Molecule: ribosomal RNA, 44 nt
Filed under: fungal sp. MR09
Lineage: Eukaryota; Fungi
Also listed under: 12 other names
Description: partial 28S ribosomal RNA
Source: RNAcentral